GAUGAAGAACGCAGCGAAAUGCGAUAAGUAAUGCGAAUUGCAGAAUUUCCGUGAGCCAUCGAAUCUUUGAACGCACAUUGCGCCCGAUGGUAUUCCGUCGGGCAUGCCUGUUCGAGCGUCAUUUCAACCCUCAAGCGCAGCUUGGUGUUGGGUGCUUGUCCCGCCUCCGCGCGGCGACUCACCUCAAAGUCAUUGGCAGCCCGCAUCCGCCGGCCGUGAGCGCAGCACAGUCGCGCCCUAGGCCCCGGCGGAUCGGCUCUCCAGAAGCUACCCCCCAAUGUUGACCUCGGAUCAGGUAGGGAUACCCGCUGAACUUAAGCAUAUCAAUAAGCGGAGGA
RNAcentral lists this unclassified non-coding RNA (338 nucleotides) under soil metagenome. RNAcentral describes it as "partial contains 5.8S ribosomal RNA, internal transcribed spacer 2, and large subunit ribosomal RNA". The stretch from base 1 to 121 matches the Rfam family "5.8S ribosomal RNA", at positions 35 to 154 of the family's 154-position model. The record is from RNAcentral.